This 459-nucleotide ribosomal RNA is filed under the name Fimetariella rabenhorstii. RNAcentral describes it as "eukaryotic LSU rRNA". The stretch from base 111 to 264 matches the Rfam family "5.8S ribosomal RNA". Lineage: Eukaryota; Fungi; Ascomycota; Sordariomycetes; Sordariales; Lasiosphaeriaceae. The record is from RNAcentral.
GCGGGCGGCCCCUCCCUGGGGCCGCUGCCUCCCUCGGGGGGUGCCCGCCGGCGUACCAAAACUCUUUUGUAUUUUAGUGGCCUCUCUGAGAAAACAAGCAAAUAAGUUAAAACUUUCAACAACGGAUCUCUUGGUUCUGGCACCGAUGAAGAACGCAGCGAAAUGCGAUAAGUAAUGUGAAUUGCAGAAUUCAGUGAAUCAUCGAAUCUUUGAACGCACAUUGCGCCCGCCAGUACUCUGGCGGGCAUGCCUGUUCGAGCGUCAUUUCAACCCUCAAGCCCUGCUUGGUGUUGGGGCCUACGGCUGCCGUAGCCCCUGAAAACUAGUGGCGGGCUCGCUAUAACUCCGAGGCGUAGUAAAAUAUCUCGCUAGGCAGGUUCGCGCGUCCCGGCCGUGAAAGCCCAUCUUUUACACAAGGUUGACCUCGGAUCAGGUAGGAAUACCCGCUGAACUUAAGCA